This 2500-nucleotide long non-coding RNA is filed under the name Homo sapiens (human). RNAcentral's name for it is "HSALNT0097473". Lineage: Eukaryota; Metazoa; Chordata; Mammalia; Primates; Hominidae. The record is from RNAcentral.
GAAACCUUUAACAACUGAACUAAUUCUGGAAAGUUGCCCAUAUCAGAUAUCUUCAGAAAUCACUUUGGAAAAUGCCUUUAGGAAGGUAGGACACCUCUUCCCAUUUGUCUUAUGAUGGCAGGUCCAGAGCUUACAUGAAGAGGCAGUGAGGCAAAGAUGUAAAGAAUAUGGACUCUUCAGUCAGACCUGGGAUGAACCCCGGCCAUUACCUACUCACGGAGGAGCCUGGGCCACUUAUCUAACCUCUCUGAGGCUCACUUUCUGCGUCUAUCAAAUGAGAAUAGCGCUACUAUCUGCUGUAUGAAACACUGACCGAGUUAAGCAAAAUAAUGCAGGUUAGCUGCUUAAUCCAGUGUCUAGCACAUAGCAAGUGCCAAAAAUGUGAGCGAUUAAAAGGGGUCUUUUACUAGCACUGGCCACAUCCCCAUCUUAUCGCUUUAUCUUCCAUUGAGCAGAGGUUCUGCCAGGUGCAGGGGACAAGGGAGAAGAAAAGACACGCACAUUCUCCUGGGCUUCAAAGUUGUCCCAUCCUUCUGUGAUGUCAUAAUCUGAGCCAUAGCCCACAAAUGUGAACUCCAACAACCCCCAAACCCAGUCCUCACCUCCCACAUGCUUUUCAUCACCCGCUCUCACAUCCCAUCUGGGGCCUCUGCUUCCAUCCUACCAUUUCGCAAGCCUGGCCAACUCAAGCUCCGUGUGCUGCACCUAGAGCAGCCCAUCUCUGUGUCAGGAGAACUGCAAUCCAAGCAAAUGUGGUGGGUGUGAAGCUUUCAAGAAGUUGGGUCAAGAACAAGGACUGAAAGAGGAGCAUCAAUUUAUGGGGGCCACUGAGGCUUUCAGAGAUUUUGUGACCUACCAAACUGGCACAGCUAGUAAAUGGAUGACAAGCCAUUAACAUGGAAAGAAGAAGAGGCAUCCAAAGUGUUGGGUCCGCAUCGCCCUUGCCUUGGAGGAAGCUCCAAAUAGAGGGAAGGAUGGUUUCCAGCAGUCCCUGAAGUGCCUUUCCUCCUUCGUGGGAUCCAGUUACACCCAGCAGACUUCAGUUUGAAUAAACAGAACUAGAUGAAUACACCUAGGGAAUCUGUGAGGCCAGCCUCAGCUUUUAACAUCCAGCUACAGGGAGGCUCUCGCUCACCGGGAGAUUAACCCGCCAGGCUGCUGAGUGAGAGGGGACAGAGUAGGCCCUGACGGGAGGCCUGGGACGCAGGGGAAAUCAAAACAAGUCCACCUGCUUAAGGAGACUGCCGCACUGUGACCUCGUCCUCCGGACAUCUGUGGCAAGUGUUACCGCAGCCACUGAUGUGGCGCACUGGGCCAUUUACAGCUGCCUCAUGAUAUUCUUUUUCACGACUGUGUUUACACUAUUGUUUAACAACUUUGUAUAACAAUCUCUUUUCACUCCAAAUAAACCUUAGUGCCUGGAAGGCCAAGAGUAUCUUCAGUAUGUGUCUAUCCUAGUAAGCUUCUCAAAUGAUACAGAAUUUUUCGUUUUUUUUAAAAAUUUCCAACCUCUCAUGUGCCAAUACUUUUGUAUAAUCAAAAUGAUUAGAAAAAUGAACAUGGACUAGGAUGCCUUAGUAGUGUCAAAUGACUAUAAAUGUGUCUAAAUGCUUAAUGUAAAUUUCUUGUCAUAGACCAGUAACACACAGUUUGCUAACUGGCACGGGUCUGUGGACCUCAUUUGAUUAUCAUUAAACCAGAACAACUAGAAUGCCUGGUACAAUAGGGAGCAAAGAAUAUCUUCUCAAUAUGGAACUGCUGAUUGAAUAUGUGUAUGAAUUAUAACAUAUAUACACAUAUUACAAUGUACACAUAUGGAAUACAUUCACACCAAAUACUGGUAUAUGCACAUACGUUCAAUCAAAUUAUACUUUAUACCAUAACAUAUGUGUAAAUAAGAAGAUGGGGUUUACAAAAGGAAGACCUAUACUUAGGUUUUUAAAAAAGUGCAUUAGGUAACGAGUUGGCACCAUGACGCUCUCUAUGGAAAGGUAUAGGUGGAUGAGGAAGAAUGACUGAGCAGUGCUUCUCCUGUGCUCCAUGCUGUAAUUCUCCAAGCUCUGUGUGGGACUGGUGUUCACACCCAUAUUUACCCAAGAGGCAGUGAAGCUCACUGAGGCUACGCGAUUUGCCAAGGUCACGCUGCUAUUUAGUGAUGGAGAUGGGAUUCAGGUACAGGACUGUCCGGCUCCACAGCCUGCGUUCUAUGGCACCACAUUGUUCAGUGGUGUCACAGGGAGCUAUGCUUUGUUCAUAUGACACACAGUACAAAGAGAAUGGCUGUGUUCCUACCUCCACCUCCAAGCAAAGACCACCAUAAAAUAAUCACAAGGGGCUGGCCUGGGUAGGUUUUGAGUGAGAAGAAGUCCAACUGAUGAACUUCUAGGAAAAGUUUACUCCCUCCUAAGAAAAAAGCAUGGAGAAAAGAUGACCCCCUUCUUCUGCUGGGGAUUGAAACAUCGGGAUAGGAUGGCCAGGACAUCCCUCAGUCAUCUUUUUU